CCUACGGGCGGCAGCAGUGAGGAAUAUUGGUCAAUGGACGAGAGUCUGAACCAGCCAAGUAGCGUGAAGGAUGACUGCCCUAUGGGUUGUAAACUUCUUUUAUAUGGGAAUAAAAUGUUCCACGUGUGGGAUUUUGUAUGUACCAUAUGAAUAAGGAUCGGCUAACUCCGUACCAGCAGCCGCGGUAAUACGGAGGAUCCGAGCGUUAUCCGGAUUUAUUGGGUUUAAAGGGAGCGUAGGUGGAUUGUUAAGUCAGUUGUGAAAGUUUGCGGCUCAACCGUAAAAUUGCAGUUGAAACUGGCAGUCUUGAGUACAGUAGAGGUGGGCGGAAUUCGUGGUGUAGCGGUGAAAUGCUUAGAUAUCACGAAGAACUCCGAUUGCGAAGGCAGUUCACUGGACUGCAACUGACACUGAGGCUCGAAAGUGUGGGUAUCAAACAGGAUUAGAUACCCCUGUAGUC
This 460-nucleotide ribosomal RNA is filed under the name uncultured bacterium. Its description in RNAcentral is "partial 16S ribosomal RNA". It matches the Rfam family "Bacterial small subunit ribosomal RNA", at positions 338 to 795 of the family's 1533-position model. The record is from RNAcentral.